Long non-coding RNA from Argiope bruennichi, 446 nucleotides. RefSeq lists it as uncharacterized. The record is from RefSeq and is a predicted model, not a curated record. The transcript is spliced from 3 exons. Lineage: Eukaryota; Metazoa; Arthropoda; Arachnida; Araneae; Araneidae.
ACCUGGAAAUUCUUAUUUCAGACGCAGCAGCGAGGUGAUGAACAAACUGAGGAGGCGUUGUCAGUCUAUACUUAAUGCCAAGUAGCGAUCCUGCGCAGGUGUCGUUGCUCUGUGGAGGCCUCCCGCAAUUACUUGUUUGGAAUGUAAUCCAUUAGCUGGAUCCCACUUUCGUUGCCACUAAUAUCCUCAAACCACCUCUGCUUGAAAUUGGAUACAAGUCCUGCCAAUGGCUCUUCAUCUCAAGGAAUCAUCUAAACGAUUAUGAGAAUUUAUUUUCACAGCAAAAAGGCAUCCAUAGCCAAAGUCUUCAAACAAAGAAGUGACAUAAAAUUUAUAAUUAAAUGACAUUUAUCUACCUGUUUCCCCAUGGGCUCUGGGUUUGUGAUAGUUGUUGAGAAGAAGCCGUCCCACUCGAGCCGGCCGUACAGCCCACUCCAAUUGUUGUG